GAUGAACGCUAGCGGGAGGCUUAAUACAUGCAAGUCGAGGGGCAGCGUGGAACUUCGGUUCUGACGGCGACCGGCGAACGGGUGAGUAACGCGUACAGAAUCUACCUUAUAGUGGGGAAUAGCCUCGGGAAACUGAGAUUAAUACCCCAUAGUAUUACCUUUAAUAUUUAUUGGUAAUUAAAGCUCCGGCGCUAUAAGAUGACUGUGCGUCUGAUUAGUUAGUUGGUAGGGUAACGGCCUACCAAGACGAUGAUCAGUAGGGGGCGUGAGAGCGUGGACCCCCACACGGGUACUGAGACACGGACCCGACUCCUACGGGAGGCAGCAGUAAGGAAUAUUGGACAAUGGGCGAAAGCCUGAUCCAGCCAUCCCGCGUGCAGGAUGACGGCCCUAUGGGUUGUAAACUGCUUUUGUUAGGGAAGAAACCCUCUCUUUUAAGAGGGGCUGACGGUACCUAAAGAAUAAGCACCGGCUAACUCCG
Molecule: ribosomal RNA, 481 nt
Filed under: uncultured Portibacter sp.
Lineage: Bacteria; Pseudomonadati; Bacteroidota; Saprospiria; Saprospirales; Haliscomenobacteraceae
Description: bacterial SSU rRNA
Rfam family: Bacterial small subunit ribosomal RNA
Source: RNAcentral